Molecule: ribosomal RNA, 273 nt
Filed under: uncultured bacterium
Lineage: Bacteria
Description: partial 16S ribosomal RNA
Rfam family: Bacterial small subunit ribosomal RNA
Source: RNAcentral
GACAGAGGGUGCAAACGUUGUUCGGAAUUACUGGGCGUAAAGCGCGUGUAGGCGGCCAAACAAGUCGGGCGUGAAAUCCCACGGCUCAACCGUGGAAGUGCACCCGAAACUGUGUGGCUAGAGUCCUGGAGAGGAAGGUGGAAUGCUUGGUGUAGAGGUGAAAUUCGUAGAUAUCAAGCGGAACACCGGUGGCGAAGGCGGCCUUCUGGACAGUGACUGACGCUGAGACGCGAAAGCGUGGGGAGCAAACAGGAUUAGAUACCCUCGUAGUCC